GACGAACGCUGGCGGCGUGCCUAAUACAUGCAAGUAGAACGCUGAAGGAGGAGCUUGCUUCUCUGGAUGAGUUGCGAACGGGUGAGUAACGCGUAGGUAACCUGCCUGGUAGCGGGGGAUAACUAUUGGAAACGAUAGCUAAUACCGCAUAAGAGUAGAUGUCGCAUGACAUUUGCUUAAAAGUUGCAAUUGCAUCACUACCAGAUGGACCUGCGUUGUAUUAGCUAGUUGGUGAGGUAACGGCUCACCAAGGCAACGAUACAUAGCCGACCUGAGAGGGUGAUCGGCCACACUGGGACUGAGACACGGCCCAGACCCCUACGGGAGGCAGCAGUAGGGAAUCUUCGGCAAUGGACGGAAGUCUGACCGAGCAACGCCGCGGGAGUGAAGAAGGUUUUCGGAUCGUAAAGCUCUGUUGUAAGAGAAGAACGAGUGUGAGAGUGGAAAGUUCACACUGUGACGGUAUCUUAACAGAAAGGGACGGCUAACUACGUG
This 495-nucleotide ribosomal RNA is filed under the name uncultured bacterium. RNAcentral describes it as "partial 16S ribosomal RNA". It matches the Rfam family "Bacterial small subunit ribosomal RNA", at positions 28 to 507 of the family's 1533-position model. The record is from RNAcentral.